Molecule: ribosomal RNA, 541 nt
Filed under: Guapinannus sp. Nicaragua 6083
Lineage: Eukaryota; Metazoa; Arthropoda; Insecta; Hemiptera; Schizopteridae
Description: partial 28S ribosomal RNA
Rfam family: Eukaryotic large subunit ribosomal RNA (bases 1-283)
Source: RNAcentral
CAAGUACCGUGAGGGAAAGUUGAAAAGAACUUUGAAGAGAGAGUUCAAAAGUACGUGAAACCGUUUAGGGGUAAACGAAAAAGAACUGAAAAUCCGAAAAGGGAGAUUCACGUCUUCUCGUAUGUUAAGAAUAGUAUAUUUUAGGAUAACUAAUGGCCUAUACUUAUUGUAUUAGUGUUAUUAAUUGCCUAAAUAUAUUAUGACUAGCAACGGUGGACCGCACUUCUCUCUUAGUAGGACGUCGCGACCCGCUAGUUAAAAUUCUAAGUUCAAACUUUUAAUGAUUUAUUAUAUUAAAAUUUUUUUUUUAUAUAUAUAAUAAAUUGGUUUGUUUCUGAUUUAUAUGCUGGCGGUAUAAAACGACAGUGAUGAGCCGGUUUUUUUAAACCGUUUAAUAAAAUUAAUAAUUAUUAAUAAUAGUAAAUUAGGAAUUUUAUUCCUUUAUAUUUACUAUAAUUAGUAUUAAUUUAAUUUAAACAGUGCUUGCAACACUAGUCGGCGGCGCUACAGUUUCAGUAACUUUUUCGACCCGUCUUGAAAC